Molecule: ribosomal RNA, 394 nt
Filed under: Belonogaster sp. 2 MDS-2020
Lineage: Eukaryota; Metazoa; Arthropoda; Insecta; Hymenoptera; Vespidae
Description: partial small subunit ribosomal RNA
Source: RNAcentral
AAGAGCGACGGGCGAGGUGUAAACUAGGAUUAGAUACCCUAUUAUAAUAAUUUAAUUAAUUAUGAUUAAAGUAUUAAAUGAUAAAUCAUUAAAUUUAAAAAAUUUGGCGGUAUUUUAUAAAAUUAGAGGAACCUGUUGUGUAAUUGAUAGACCACGAUAAGAAAUACUUUAAUUAAAUUUUAUGUAUUGUUGUUUAAAAAUUUUUAUUAAGUAUAAAAUUAAUUAUUUUAUUAGAAAUUUAAUUCAAAUCAAAAUAUAGAUUAUUAAAGGAUUAAUGGGUUACAAUUAAUUAAAUUAUUAUUUAAUUAAAUUUAAUUAAAUUAAAAUAUUGGAUUUAAAAGUAAAAUUAUUAAAUUAUUUAAUUUGAAAUUUUAAUAAAAUAUGUACACAUCGC